GGGAUGUUGUCUGGCUCGACA
Molecule: microRNA, 21 nt
Filed under: Solanum lycopersicum (tomato)
Lineage: Eukaryota; Viridiplantae; Streptophyta; Magnoliopsida; Solanales; Solanaceae
Description: sly-miR166c-5p
Gene: sly-miR166c-5p
Source: miRBase by way of RNAcentral